AUAUCUUGAUGCACGCAUGAUUACCAAUAUCAUUAGAGGAUCAGUUAGGACAAAGAUAUUCAUAUCCAUAUCAGCCUGUCUGGCUUACGUAUUUGAUGCAUGGCAGUGCGAGGCUUCUUAUAGGAAGACGUGGAUAGCUAAACAACUUAUUAUGGGCGAGUUGUUUGAAGAUUGGAUAGAGUUCUAUAACAUAUUAGAUCCUUGGCUAGCUGCAGUUUGUCGUACCA
RNAcentral lists this long non-coding RNA (227 nucleotides) under Elaeis guineensis (African oil palm). Its description in RNAcentral is "long non-coding RNA (EGUI_LNC076481)". Lineage: Eukaryota; Viridiplantae; Streptophyta; Magnoliopsida; Arecales; Arecaceae. The record is from RNAcentral.